Molecule: non-coding RNA, 1169 nt
Organism: Cicer arietinum (chickpea)
Lineage: Eukaryota; Viridiplantae; Streptophyta; Magnoliopsida; Fabales; Fabaceae
Source: RefSeq, a predicted model, not a curated record
AAUUGACAUGGAUAAUUAACACACGGAAAGAUCCCUCUCGCUGCUUCUUUAUCUUCUCAAGCUACCAUGGGCGAAACUACCCUCGCCGUUGAUCCAGGCAUGGAUGCCGUCCAGCGCAGUCUCAUGUUCGAAGCAAGAAGCUCAGGCUAAAGCAGCAACUGCCGAGGAAAGACAGCGAUCCAUGAAUGACUGCUUAUCUCGAACCUUGUCUCGAAUUAAUGUUCUUGAGGCCUAGGUUCUCCAAUUUCUUGAAUCAAGUCAUGUCUUUAAUGGUGGUUUUGUGUAUAUGUGACUCAAUUAAGGAAAGACAAAGAGCAAUUGAAAGUAGGCAAGAAUAUCUUGCUGCAUAGGAGGAAGUUGAUACUCAAGAAGAUCGUACGAGCCAGCUUGAGGAAGAGAAGGUCGUGCAAGACAACUUGAGAAAGAGAUUAAGAUUUAAGAUAGAAACACACACAAGAGUUGCAUGAGGCAUUGAUGCACAUGGAGCUUCUUCUGCAGGAAAGGAAAUAGAAAAGGAAAAGGUUGCUCGAUUAGAUUUGGAGAGGGUCGUCUGUGUUCAUUAUGUGCCAUCAUCAGAUCAAACAUCGCCAACAAAGCAUAAUUCCGCUUUUGAGAAUGGUGUUUUGCUUCUUUUUACAUCACUUGGCUCAACUCUCUUGUCUGUGAUAUUUUCGAUAAUAUACUUUAUGAUGUAGCGAGUCUGUCCCGUAAAAUCUCCAGUGCAAGCUCCCUUCGAAGCAUAGAAGAAAGCUAUUUUCUUCAAGCAUCACGAGAUUCAUCUGACAGAUUUUCUGAACGGAGAAACCUAGGAGAACUAAGCAUGAGUCAUUACUAUAUAUAGAGCAUGACACUAAAUUCUUUUGAGGUUGCACUUGGUCAGAAGGAGAGUGAACUUGCUUCAUAUAUGUUGCGCUUGGUAUGAUUUGUUGUCUUCAUUUUCUGUCAUCAUACCUUCCAAGAUAUCUCUUUGGAUCCGUAGUUGAAACUACAACAACAACAGUGAUCUUCUCCCAGCACCGCCAAUAGGCACUGCAAACUAGAGAGGUCAAGCGAACUAUUUAAGGUCUAGCAUAAAGCCAACUUACUGUUUUUUGUUGGAUUUGGAUCCCUUAUUCCAUUAUUUACUUUUUGUAUUCAUAACCAAUUUUUUUUGGAGUAUUUAUCAAAUA